ACGCUCGAAAUUAAUUAUCUGAAUCUGAAAAAUAGAAAGAAAGGUAAUGAGCUAGACAGCCCAGUAAGUAACAAAUAUCUCAACUAGAUAAUUCAGAUAUUAUAUAAUUUUCAAGAAUAAUGUUGCAAAUAAACAUAAGAGUAUAUUUCAUGCUGAUUUAAUACAAAUCAAAUAUUUUUAAAUAUUCACAUAUAAUAUAAUCAUAAAUCCGAUUCGAUUCAAAACACUCGUAACUCAACAGCCUUGACUAUGACCAACNNNN
RNAcentral lists this long non-coding RNA (262 nucleotides) under Elaeis guineensis (African oil palm). Its description in RNAcentral is "long non-coding RNA (EGUI_LNC032792)". The record is from RNAcentral. Lineage: Eukaryota; Viridiplantae; Streptophyta; Magnoliopsida; Arecales; Arecaceae.